This 253-nucleotide ribosomal RNA is filed under the name uncultured bacterium. RNAcentral's name for it is "partial 16S ribosomal RNA". It matches the Rfam family "Bacterial small subunit ribosomal RNA", at positions 524 to 776 of the family's 1533-position model. The record is from RNAcentral.
UACGGGGGGGGCAAGCGUUGUUCGGAAUUACUGGGCGUAAAGGGCUCGUAGGCGGCCAACUAAGUCAGACGUGAAAUCCCUCGGCUUAACCGGGGAACUGCGUCUGAUACUGGAUGGCUAGAGGUUGGGAGAGGGAUGCGGAAUUCCAGGUGUAGCGGUGAAAUGCGUAGAUAUCGUAAGGAAGACCAGUGGCGAAGGCGGGUCUCUGGACAGUUCCUGACGCUGAGGCACGAAGGCCAGGGGGGCAAACGGG